Molecule: ribosomal RNA, 253 nt
Filed under: uncultured bacterium
Lineage: Bacteria
Description: partial 16S ribosomal RNA
Rfam family: Bacterial small subunit ribosomal RNA
Source: RNAcentral
UACAGAGGGUGCAAGCGUUAAUCGGAAUUACUGGGCGUAACGCGCACGUAGGCGGUUUUUUAAGUCAGAUGUGAAAGCCCCGGGCUCAACCUGGGAAUUGCAUUUGAAACUGGGGAACUAGAGUGUGUGAGAGGGGGGUAGAAUUCCAAGUGUAGCGGUGAAAUGCGUAGAGAUUUGGAGGAAUACCAGUGGCGAAGGCGGCCCCCUGGCACAACACUGACGCUCAGGUGCGAAAGCGUGGGGAGCAAACAGG